GACGAACCGUGCGAACGUUGUUCGGAUUCACUGGGCUUAAAGGGCGCGUAGGCGGGCCGUCAAGUCAGGGGUGAAAGCCCCCAGCUCAACUGGGGAAGUGCCUCUGAGACUGGCGGUCUCGAGGGGGAUAGGGGCAUGCGGAACUCUCGGUGGAGCGGUGAAAUGCGUAGAUAUCGGGAGGAACGCCGGUGGCGAAAGCGGCAUGCUGGAUCCCUUCUGACGCUGAGGCGCGAAAGCCAGGGGAGCGAACGGG
This 253-nucleotide ribosomal RNA is filed under the name uncultured bacterium. RNAcentral's name for it is "partial 16S ribosomal RNA". It matches the Rfam family "Bacterial small subunit ribosomal RNA", at positions 524 to 776 of the family's 1533-position model. The record is from RNAcentral.